RNAcentral lists this ribosomal RNA (514 nucleotides) under uncultured bacterium. Its description in RNAcentral is "bacterial SSU rRNA". It matches the Rfam family "Bacterial small subunit ribosomal RNA", at positions 15 to 518 of the family's 1533-position model. The record is from RNAcentral.
GAUCCUGGCUUAGGAUGAACGCUAGCUACAGGCUUAACACAUGCAAGUCGAGGGGCAGCGGGGAGUUAGCUUGCUAACUUGCCGGCGACCGGCGCACGGGUGAGUAACGCGUAUCCAACCUUCCCCUUAGUAGGGCAUAGCCCGGCGAAAGUCGGAUUAAUACCCUAUGUUAUCCGAAGAGGACAUCUGAAUUGGAUUAAAGAUUCAUCGCUAAGGGAUGGGGAUGCGUCUGAUUAGGUAGUAGGCGGGGUAACGGCCCACCUAGCCUACGAUCAGUAGGGGUUCUGAGGGGAAGGUCCCCCACACUGGUACUGAGACACGGACCAGACUCCUACGGGAGGCAGCAGUGAGGAAUAUUGGUCAAUGGGCGCGAGCCUGAACCAGCCAAGUAGCGUGCAAGGACGACUGCCCUAUGGGUUGUAAACUGCUUUUAUCAGGGAAUAAAGUGAGGCACGCGUGCCUUUUUGUAUGUACCUGAUGAAUAAGGACCGGCUAAUUCCGUGCCAGCCGCCGC